Molecule: ribosomal RNA, 391 nt
Filed under: Annularisca hendersoni
Lineage: Eukaryota; Metazoa; Mollusca; Gastropoda; Littorinimorpha; Pomatiidae
Description: partial 12S ribosomal RNA
Source: RNAcentral
UAUUAAAAAUUGUAAAUUGUUUUAUCUACCUAAGUAUUAUGAAUUAUUUAUUUAAAAUUUAAAGAACUUGGCGGUAUUUAUAGAUUAUUUAGGGGAACCUGUUUUUUAAUCGAUGAUCCUCGUUUUACCUUACCUUUUUUUGUUAUUAGUUUGUAUACCGUCGUCGUCAGUUAACAUUUGAAGAUUUUAAGAGUUGUCUUUAUAAAUUAUUAAUUUUAGAUGUCAGAUCAAGGUGCAGCUUAUAAAUUGGUUAAUAUGGGUUACAAUUAUUUAUUUAUAAUAUGAAUAAUUUUUUGAAAUUAUUAUUUGAAAGAGGACUUAAAAGUAAUUUAAUUUAGAUAUAUUUAAUGAAUUUUUUUCUUAAAUAUGUACACACCGCCCGUCACCCUCA